UGUCCCCAGUGCCUCCAAUACCCUCAACGUCCCCAUUGCUCCCAUUGCCCCCAAUGUCCCCACUCCCCCCAGUGUCCCCAUGCCUCCAAUACCCCCAGUGUCCCCACUGCUCCCACUGCCCCCAGUGUCCCCAGUGUCCCCAGUGUCCCCAUUCCCCAUAAUGUCCCUAUUCUCCCCCACUGUCCCCAGUGCCUCCAAAACCCUCAACGUCCCCAUUGCUCCCAUUGCCCCCAGUGUCCCCAUUCCCCCAGUGUCCCCAUGCUUCCAACACCUCCAAUGUCCCCAUUGCUCCCAUUGCUCCCAAUGUCCCCAUCCCCCUCAGUGUCCCCAUUCUCUCCACUGUCCCCAUGCCUCCAAAACCCCCAGUGUCCCCAUUGUCCCCAAUGUCCCCAUUCCCCAUAAUGUCCCUAUUCUCCCCCUGUCCCCAGUGCCUCCAAUACCCCCAACGUCCCCAGUGCUCCCAUUGCCCCCAGUGUCCCCAUGCUUCCAACACCUCCAAUGUCCCCAUUGCUCCCAUUGCCCCCCGUGUCCCCAGUGUCCCCAAUGUCCCCAUUCCCCAUAAUGUCCCUAUUCUCCCCCACUGUCCCCAUGCCUCCAAUACCCCCAACGUCCCAUUGCUCCCAUUGCCCCCAAUGUCUCCAUCCCCCUCAGUGUCCCCAUUCUCUCCACUGUCUCCAUGCCUCCAAUACCCCCAGUGUCCCCAUUGCUCCCACUGCCCCCAGUGUCCCCAUUGUCCCCAAUGUCCCCAUUCCCCAUAAUGUCCCUAUUCUCCCCCUGUCCCCAGUGCCUCCAAUACCCCCAAUGUCCCCAUUGCUCCCAUUGCCCCCCGUGUCCCCAGUGUCCCCAAUGUCCCCAUUCCCCAUAAUGUCCCUAUUCUCCCCCACUGUCCCCAUGCCUCCAAUACCCCCAACAUUCCCAUUGCUCCCAUUGCCCCCAAUGUCCCCAUUCCCCCCAGUGUCCCCAUGCCUCCAACACCUCCAAUGUCCCCAUUGCUCCCACUGUCCCCAGUGUCCCCAAUGUCCCCAUUCCCCAUAAUGUCCCAAUUCCCCCCAGUGUCCCCAUGCCUCCAAAACCUCCAAUGUCCCCAUUGCUCCCACUGCCCCCAAUGUCCCCAUUCCCCAUAAUGUUCCUAUUCUCCCCCACUGUCCCCAGUGCCUCCAAUACCCUCAACGUCCCCAUUGCUCCCAUUGCCCCCAGUGUCCCCACUCCCCCCAGUGCCCCCAUGCCUCCAAUACCCCCAGUGUCCUCACUGCUCCCACUCCCCCCAGUGUCCCCUGGGUCCCCAAUGUCCCCUUUCCCCAUAAUGUCCCUAUUCUCCCCAACUGUCCCCAGUGCCUCCAACGUCCCCAGCAUCCCCACAGAUCCCACUCCCCCCCUUGCCCCCCCCUUGCCUCCCUGUGCCCACCUUGGACUCGACGUGGUAGGCGACGUAGUGCGCGGUGCAGCGCAGCGGGAUCUUGCGGACGGGCCACGGCGCGUCGUAGGAGAGCGCGGCGGGCAGGACGCUGAUGCGCAGCUCCCCCUGACAAGGGGGGACCCCAAUUAACGGGAACCCCAAUUAACGGGAACCCCAAUUAAUGGGAACCCAGUCAACGGGGGCCCAAGUGAACGAGAACCCAAAUUGGAGAGAACCCACGUUCAUGGCAAAGGACAUGAAUGGAAAUGCAAAUGAAUGAGAAUCCACGUCAACGGCGGCUCAAGUGAAGGGGGGACGCCAAUUAAUGGGAUCCCCAAUUAAUGGGAACCCAAUUAAUGGGGACCCCAAUUAAUGGGAACCCAGUCAACGGGGGCCCAAGUGAACGAGAACCCAAAUUGAAGAGAACCCAAGUUAAUGGCAAAUGACACAAAUGGAAACGCAAAGAAACGAGAAUCCAUGUCAAUGCUGACCCAAGUCAAGGGGGACCCCAAUUAACGGGAACCCCAAUUAACGGGAACCCCAAUUAACAGGGGCCCAAAUGAACGAGAACCCAAACUGAAGAGAACCCAAGUUCAUGGCAAAGGACAUGAAUGGAAACGCAAAUGAACGAGAACCCAC
Molecule: long non-coding RNA, 2035 nt
Organism: Numida meleagris (helmeted guineafowl)
Lineage: Eukaryota; Metazoa; Chordata; Aves; Galliformes; Numididae
Source: Ensembl